RNAcentral lists this ribosomal RNA (347 nucleotides) under uncultured bacterium. Its description in RNAcentral is "partial 16S ribosomal RNA". It matches the Rfam family "Bacterial small subunit ribosomal RNA", at positions 338 to 682 of the family's 1533-position model. The record is from RNAcentral.
CCUACGGGUGGCAGCAGUGAGGAAUAUUGGUCAAUGGACGAGAGUCUGAACCAGCCAAGUAGCGUGAAGGAUGACUGCCCUAUGGGUUGUAAACUUCUUUUAUAGGGGAAUAAAAUGGGCCACGUGAGGGAUGUUGUAUGUACCAUAUGAAUAAGGAUCGGCUAACUCCGUGCCAGCAGACGCGGUAAUACGGCGGGUCCGAGCGUUUUCCGGCUUUAUUGGGGUUAAAGGGAGCGUAGGUGGAUUGUGCAGUCAGUUGUGAAAGUAUGCGGCUCCACCGUAAAAUUGCAGUUGAAACUGGCAGUCUUGCGUACAGUCGAGGUCUGCGGAAUUCGUGGUGUAGCGGU